Long non-coding RNA from Vespa mandarinia (Asian giant hornet), 1561 nucleotides. Lineage: Eukaryota; Metazoa; Arthropoda; Insecta; Hymenoptera; Vespidae. The record is from RefSeq and is a predicted model, not a curated record.
UUCAAUCAUAACAUUCCUUGUCCUCAAUAGUAGCACAAUGUCGAGUAUGUAAGAAAAAAAAAAGAAGAAAAACAAAGAAACGAAAAAGUGUAGUAUUUGAAUUAAAUAAUGUAUUAAUUAACGAGAAGGAUGGCAAAGAGUAAGAGGAAGAGAAGGAAGAAUUUGGAAGUAGAAGUUAUUAAGACUUUGAGUGAGGACCCUCAGGCAGAUAACUCUUUGGUGUGGGCUUUAUACUUUAUACCAACUAGCCACACAUUGGUUCAGCUGGAUUAGUGAAAGUUCAAACAAAGUGGUUAAGAGUGAGUUGUUGAUAAAAUAUUCACGCUUAAGCAAUUGUCAAUUAGAAAUGUAAUAGUAGUCUUAACACAGAGAUCGAAACUACUAUGUAACACUACUAUGCUAUUACUGGCCACACCUUCCAAGGAACAGUAGUCAUCGAUAGUGGGAAUCUCCAAAUUAAUUCCCAAGAGUUAGUUAACCGAGACCAGAGAAUUCCUUCUGAGUAAUUCGUCCAAAGGAAAGAGCAAUGUCGUCGUUCAAUUCAAGAGAGACUUCUACGCUACAGUUAGUUCAUCUAUUAAACAAGAGUACAAAAAACAAAAGAUUUUAUCAAACAUUUAUAAAAUUGGUUGAAGAACAUUAGCAACAGGUACAAUUAAACAUUCAAAAUAAACAAAUGUCAUGCAAAGCAAAUAAACAAAAUAAUGUUUUAAUAAGAGAUAUUGACCAACAACAUUUUUCAUGGAAAGACAUUUUGAAAUAUCUAUAUUCACAUAUUUGAUAUUUAUUGAUUUUUUUGUCACCAAUGAUGGUCGGAGGAAAGACAAGAAAGAACUGUCAGGGAAUAUAGAAUUAAAAAAUUUGAAAUUUAACUACCCAAGUUGAUCGAAUCACGUUAUUUUGAAGAAUUUUAAUUUGGAUAUUUUUUCUUUAUGAUGUCGACGAGGAUAGCAUAUCUAUUGAUAAAUGGGUCAUUAGAUUUCUCCAUUCUAGCUAUAUUAGAGGUAUUGUAUUAGCGCAUAUAAAUUAAGAACCUGUACUUUUUGCGACUAGUACAAUGAGGCAUAUUUAUCAUGGAAAACAAGAUGCGGCGGACGAGAAGAUCAUGAAAGGGGCAAAAGAAGCUAAUGCUCAUGAAUUCAUUACAAAAUUUCCAAGUAGUUAUGAAACUUAAAGUGACGAGAGAGACGCAAUAUUAUUUGGUGGAAUAAAGCAACCAUCGAUUUUACUAUUAGUCGAAGCAACGAUAUGUAAAAAGACUAAAUAUAAUUAGUCACAUAUCUUAUUGUGUAUUCUGUAUGAAUUUUAUCUUUUUUAAAUUUAAUGCAUUGGAUUUUGAAAGCAAAAAAAUGGUUCACAGUGCGUUAGAAAAUGUAACUAGAAAUAGGUUAGUUAUUGUUCAUAGACUAUUGUUCAUACUAUUAAACCUGCUUAUGUUACUAUUGUAUUACAAUAUGUUAUUCUAGAGAUAGGUUGAAAAAUGAAUCGGUGUUCUUUCACUAUCUGCGCAUAGCUACUUUAUUUUGCAAUAUUUUGUUCUUUCUUUUUCCUUUUUUUUUUC